GCCCGGGUGGCGAAAUUGGUAGACGCGCUGGCUUCAGGAGUCAGUUCCCUUACGGGAUUGGGAGUUCGAGUCUCCCCUCGGGCA
This 84-nucleotide transfer RNA is filed under the name Patescibacteria group bacterium. Its description in RNAcentral is "tRNA-Leu". It matches the Rfam family "tRNA". From Rfam's summary of the family: Transfer RNA (tRNA) molecules are approximately 80 nucleotides in length. Their secondary structure includes four short double-helical elements and three loops (D, anti-codon, and T loops). The record is from RNAcentral. RNAcentral also lists the same sequence under 1 other name.